AAGCCAGGAUAAUGUAGUCUUAAUCGUUCUGAAAUACGAAAAAUGUUGUGGAAAUCGCGUGAAAUAAUCAGAGGAAUCGUUUGAAAUCAUCGUAGUAAUCGCGCGAAAAUCACGUGAAAUAAUCAGAGGAAUCGUUUGAAAUCAUCGUAGUAAUCGCGCGAAAAUCACGUGAAAUAAUCAGAGGAAUCGUUUGAAAUCAUCGUAGUAAUCGCGCGAAAAUCGCGUGAAAUAAUCAGAGGAAUCGUUUGAAAUCAUCGUAGUAAUCGCGCGAAAAUCGC
This 278-nucleotide small RNA is filed under the name Staphylococcus aureus. RNAcentral's name for it is "partial non-coding RNA". It matches the Rfam family "tsr1 small RNA", at positions 1 to 278 of the family's 657-position model. The record is from RNAcentral. Lineage: Bacteria; Bacillati; Bacillota; Bacilli; Caryophanales; Staphylococcaceae.